CCUACGGGUGGCAGCAGUGGGGAAUAUUGGACAAUGGGGGGAACCCUGAUCCAGCCAUGCCGCGUGUGUGAAGAAGGCCCUCGGGUUGUAAAGCACUUUCAGUGAGGAAGAACGCCUGGUGGUUAAUACCCAUCAGGAAAGACAUCACUCACAGAAGAAGCACCGGCUAACUCCGUGCCAGCAGCCGCGGUAAUACGGAGGGUGCGAGCGUUAAUCGGAAUUACUGGGCGUAAAGCGCGCGUAGGUGGCUUGAUAAGCCGGUUGUGAAAGCCCCGGGGCUCAACCUGGGAACGGCAUCCGGAAAUGGCCAGGUUGGGUGCAGGAGGGGAAGGGAGAAAUCCCGGGGGUGCGGGGAAAUGCGGUAGGGUUCGGAGGAAAUCCAGGUGCGAAGGCCGCCCUCUGGAACUAAACUUGACCUUGGGUGGCGAAGGCUUGGGUAGCAACCAGAAUAGAAACCCCAGUAGUC
RNAcentral lists this ribosomal RNA (466 nucleotides) under Vreelandella stevensii. RNAcentral's name for it is "partial 16S ribosomal RNA". It matches the Rfam family "Bacterial small subunit ribosomal RNA", at positions 338 to 795 of the family's 1533-position model. Lineage: Bacteria; Pseudomonadati; Pseudomonadota; Gammaproteobacteria; Oceanospirillales; Halomonadaceae. The record is from RNAcentral.